CAGUAGCCGCGGGAAUACGGAGGGCGCGAGCGUUACCCGGAUUUACUGGGCGUAAAGGGCGUGUAGGCGGCCUGGGGCGUCCCAUGUGAAAGGCCACGGCUCAACCGUGGAGGAGCGUGGGAUACGCUCAGGCUAGAGGGUGGGAGAGGGUGGUGGAAUUCCCGGAGUAGCGGUGAAAUGCGCAGAUACCGGGAGGAACGCCGAUGGCGAAGGCAGCCACCUGGUCCACUUCUGACGCUGAGGCGCGAAAGCGUGGGGAGCAAACCGGAUUAGAUACCCGCGUAGUCCCUGUCUCUUAUAC
RNAcentral lists this ribosomal RNA (301 nucleotides) under uncultured bacterium. Its description in RNAcentral is "partial 16S ribosomal RNA". It matches the Rfam family "Bacterial small subunit ribosomal RNA", at positions 509 to 807 of the family's 1533-position model. The record is from RNAcentral.